This 116-nucleotide ribosomal RNA is filed under the name uncultured bacterium. RNAcentral's name for it is "partial 16S ribosomal RNA". It matches the Rfam family "Bacterial small subunit ribosomal RNA", at positions 1358 to 1482 of the family's 1533-position model. The record is from RNAcentral.
UACGGUGAAUACGUUCCCGGACCUUGUACACACCGCCCGUCAAGCCAUGGAAGCUGGGUGUACCUAAAGUCGAUAACCGUAAGGAGUCGCCUAGGGUAAAACUAGUAACUGGGGCU